GCGUUCGUGGUGUAUCGGUAACAUUGGGUCUUCCCAUGCUCUCAAUUGUAUAUCUUGAAGUAUGGCCUAGCACCGGGUUCGACUCCCGGCGGACGCA
Mycena galopus ATCC 62051 is the source of this 97-nucleotide non-coding RNA. Lineage: Eukaryota; Fungi; Basidiomycota; Agaricomycetes; Agaricales; Mycenaceae. The record is from the annotation of a GenBank genome assembly.